Molecule: long non-coding RNA, 181 nt
Organism: Rhagoletis zephyria (snowberry fruit fly)
Lineage: Eukaryota; Metazoa; Arthropoda; Insecta; Diptera; Tephritidae
Source: RefSeq, a predicted model, not a curated record
AGAGUCUUUUAUUUCUAAACUAUAAUUGAUGGAAAUGUUUUAUUUGAGCAACUAAGUUCCAAUUCGGCUUUUAACCGUCGUUGCGCAUAUUUGACAUUUCCAUCAGUUAUAGUUUAGAAAUAAAAGAGACUGAUGCUUUGGCUUGAUGCAUUUCUGAACGCACCCAUAGCAUAAAUUUUAA